AGUCAUUUGACAUCUCUGAACUUAGCUUCCUUAACUUCCCAAUGUGGCGAUGACUGAGUCUUUAUCAAUAUGUCUCAUUAAUGACCUUUUGCAAGAGACCUCUUAAAUUAAGUCAAAUAGGCCUCUAAUUUGCCUGCUCUGUUGAUGUCUCAAAACAUCAGACAUUCACCUGCCACCUGCUGGGAAGAGGUGCAGGUGGGAUGGACAUUAGGACACAUUGCCCUUAGCAACCAGGUAUAAGGAGUAAGCAUCAAGGGACAGUCAUUCUUUCCUCAGCUGGAGAUCAUUGAAUCCACCAUAAGCUGCUGAUCAUGAGACCACGUGGCUGGGAGGCCACCUGAUGCAGCAGCAGCCCCCGCACUGACUCUGGGGCUCUGCUGGGGGAAGCCUGCAGCUCCUGGAAUCCUCACAACCACUGGGAGCGAGGUGCCGUAAGGAGGCGGAGUCUCAGACAGAGUCUCAGAUGGUCAAGGACCCUGCUCCAGGGUGGAGGAGACCCUGGAAACACAUCCAGCUCAUGCCAGGGUCCAGUAUCCAUCCGGGACAGAAAGCUGCCUCCCUCCUUCCGGGACAGAAAGCUGCGUCCUCAGCAACAGGCAGAAAGUGACAGCCUCCUCCCAUCGCCGUCACUCCUGCUCUCGUCAGACACCCAUCCCUGGACCGCCAGACCCCCGGCUACCACCCCAUCCUGCUCUUUCCUGAUCUGCAGCCCCCCACACCCAUCACUUGCUGACCAAGGCCUUCCUCAGAAGUUUUGCCAAGAGGAUUCUAAGAAAGAUUAGAGAGGACAUUUUUAAUACACAUUUGAAAAACAUCAUUCAAAGCCUACAAUUUACUAUUUGUGACCAGUAAACAGUGUGAUCAUUAUCAUCAGAAAGUAUAAGAUACAGGGCAAGGGCUUUGCUUCCAACACUGAAAUGAAGGGCUAUGUUCACUCCACCAUUGAGAGUUCUUUGUUUUUUGUUUUUUUGGUUUUUUUCCCAAGGACAAAGAUUUGAGUUUUCAAGUAGCAAUGUCUGUUCUCAAAGGACAACCAAAGUGCUGCUCGUCACCCACUUCCGUGAUCUCAAGUCCUUGUGGCCAUCACUGACCUCAGCUAGAUCAGGCCAGAAGUGUCUAUAAUACAACCACGUGUAUUUCACCAUGCCUCCAAUUCCCAUUAGAAGCUUUUUCCUGAUAUACUCUGAAGACUGGCUAUUGUUAUCUUUGUGAUUUGCCUGACAGGUAAAGAAAUUUUAAAAUAAAGUUUUUUGUGUCCUCCAGGAACAAAAUCAUGCAUGGUGUAGGGUUCAGGAAGCACAUAACUCAUCCUGAAGUGAACUCUCUUUGAUAUAUUUACUGUGAUAUCUCAUGGUUGGCACAGGCAUUCACCUUCUAGAAUCACCAAGGAGAACCAAAACCAAGAGUG
Molecule: long non-coding RNA, 1408 nt
Filed under: Homo sapiens (human)
Lineage: Eukaryota; Metazoa; Chordata; Mammalia; Primates; Hominidae
Description: HSALNT0116038
Source: RNAcentral